UAGGGAAUCUUCGGCAAUGGACGAAAGUCUGACCGAGCAACGCCGCGUGAGUGAAGAAGGCUUUCGGAUCGUAAAACUCUGUUGUUAGAGAAGAACAAGGACGUUAGUAACUGAACGUCCCCUGACGGUAUAUAACCAGAAAGCCACGGCUAACUACGUGCCAGCAGCCGCGGUAAUACGUAGGUGGCAAGCGUUGUCCGGCUUUAUUGGGCGUAAAGCGAGCGCAGGCGGUUUCUUAAGUCUGAUGUGAAAGCCCCCGGCUCAACCGGGGGGGGUCAUUGGAAACUGGGAGACUUGAGUGCAGAAGAGGAGAGUGGAAUUCCAUGUGUAGCGGUGAAAUGCGUAGAUAUAUGGAGGAACGCCAGUGGCGAAGGCGGCUCUCUGGUCUGUAACUGACGCUGAGGCUCGAAAGCGUGGGGAGCAAACAGG
RNAcentral lists this ribosomal RNA (429 nucleotides) under Gemmatimonadota bacterium. RNAcentral's name for it is "Gemmatimonadetes bacterium partial 16S ribosomal RNA". It matches the Rfam family "Bacterial small subunit ribosomal RNA", at positions 355 to 776 of the family's 1533-position model. Lineage: Bacteria; Pseudomonadati; Gemmatimonadota. The record is from RNAcentral.